Sceloporus undulatus (fence lizard) is the source of this 272-nucleotide long non-coding RNA. RefSeq lists it as uncharacterized. The record is from RefSeq and is a predicted model, not a curated record. The transcript has 3 exons. Lineage: Eukaryota; Metazoa; Chordata; Lepidosauria; Squamata; Phrynosomatidae.
GACCAGCUCCUGAAAAGUUACCUGUCAACUCAUACUUCUUGUGAGGCUGAUUUUCCAUCUCACGGAAUGAGCUGCUGCGUUUUGGAGACAAGGAGACAGACACAGUUAUAACGUUAGUUCAAUCUGAUCUUGUAAAAUGACUGUCCGGGUUUUAGAAGGAAGCAUGGGUAAUCGGGGCAAAUAUGGAACUAUGGAUGAAGAAGAUGCUGUCCUUCCAAGUUCUUCUGCCACUUCUGUAAGAAACAUCAGGGGAAUAGUUGGAACAGAGAGCA